Non-coding RNA from Paucibacter sp. KCTC 42545, 373 nucleotides. It matches the Rfam family "Bacterial RNase P class A". Rfam says of the family: Ribonuclease P (RNase P) is a ubiquitous endoribonuclease, found in archaea, bacteria and eukarya as well as chloroplasts and mitochondria. Its best characterised activity is the generation of mature 5'-ends of tRNAs by cleaving the 5'-leader elements of precursor-tRNAs. The record is from Rfam. NCBI's taxonomy places the organism in Bacteria, Pseudomonadati, Pseudomonadota, Betaproteobacteria, Burkholderiales, Sphaerotilaceae.
GAAGCAAGUCAGACCGCCGCUGGUGCGAGCAUGGAAACAUGGCACUGGAGGAAGGUCCGGACUGCAAAGAGCAGCGUAGCAGCUAACGGCUGUCCGGCGUGAGCCGAGGAUUAGAGCAACAGAGACGAGUCGAUCAAACGUGCAGGGCGCAAGCGCUGCGGGACCGGAAGCGCAGCCUCCGGGGUCGGGUGAAACGGGCAAUCUCUACGCGCAGCAACACCAAGUAGGCCAGUAUUGAUGCGGCUCGCAGAGCUGGCGGGUAGGUGGCACCGAGCCGGGCAGUGAUGCUCGGCCAAGAGGAAUGGCGGUCACAGAAUUGCGUUCGCAAGAACGCGGUUCUGCACAGAAUCCGGCCUAUCGACUUGCUUCACUC